UACGUAGGUGGCAAGCGUUGUCCGGAAUUAUUGGGCGUAAAGCGCGCGCAGGCGGUCCUUUAGGUCUGAUGUGAAAGCCCACGGCUCAACCGUGGAGGGUCAUUGGAAACUGGGGGACUUGAGUGCAGAAGAGGAAAGUGGAAUUCCACGUGUAGCGGUGAAAUGCGUAGAGAUGUGGAGGAACACCAGUGGCGAAGGCGACUUUCUGGUCUGUAACUGACGCUGAGGCGCGAAAGCGUGGGGAGCAAACAGG
This 253-nucleotide ribosomal RNA is filed under the name uncultured bacterium. Its description in RNAcentral is "partial 16S ribosomal RNA". It matches the Rfam family "Bacterial small subunit ribosomal RNA", at positions 524 to 776 of the family's 1533-position model. The record is from RNAcentral.